GCGGUAGUGGUGGAAUUGGUAGACACGCUACCUUGAGGUGGUAGUGGCGAAAGCUGUGGGGGUUCGAGUCCCCCCUUCCGCACCA
This 85-nucleotide transfer RNA is filed under the name Agitococcus sp. RNAcentral describes it as "tRNA-Leu". It matches the Rfam family "tRNA". From Rfam's summary of the family: Transfer RNA (tRNA) molecules are approximately 80 nucleotides in length. Their secondary structure includes four short double-helical elements and three loops (D, anti-codon, and T loops). Lineage: Bacteria; Pseudomonadati; Pseudomonadota; Gammaproteobacteria; Moraxellales; Moraxellaceae. RNAcentral also lists the same sequence under 2 other names. The record is from RNAcentral.